Molecule: ribosomal RNA, 254 nt
Filed under: uncultured bacterium
Lineage: Bacteria
Description: partial 16S ribosomal RNA
Rfam family: Bacterial small subunit ribosomal RNA
Source: RNAcentral
UACGAGGGGGGCAAAUGUUGUUCGGAAUCACUGGGCGUAAAGGGAGCGUAGGCGGGUUUUUAAGUCAGGUGUUUAAUCCCGGGGCCCAACCCCGGACAGGCACUUGAAACUGGGAAUCUUGAAUAGUGGAGAGGUCAGUGGAAUUGGGGGUGUAGCGGUGGAAUGCGUAGAGAUCCCCAAGAACACCCGGUUGCGAAGGCGGCUGACUGGACACAUAUUGACGCUGAGGCUCGAAAGCAUGGGGAGCAAACAGG